UGUAGGAGCUGCCGAAGGCUGCGAUCUUUUAAGAUCAAGAUCAAAAGAUCGCAGCCUUCGGCAGCUUCUACA
Molecule: unclassified non-coding RNA, 72 nt
Filed under: Pseudomonas koreensis
Lineage: Bacteria; Pseudomonadati; Pseudomonadota; Gammaproteobacteria; Pseudomonadales; Pseudomonadaceae
Source: RNAcentral